This 671-nucleotide ribosomal RNA is filed under the name Mesodinium pulex. Its description in RNAcentral is "partial Bacterial small subunit ribosomal RNA". It matches the Rfam family "Bacterial small subunit ribosomal RNA", at positions 932 to 1523 of the family's 1533-position model. The record is from RNAcentral. Lineage: Eukaryota; Ciliophora; Litostomatea; Cyclotrichida; Mesodiniidae.
GUGGAGCAUGUGGUUUAAUUCGAUAAUACGCGCGAAACCUUACCAGUUUUUGAAUACUGACAAUAUUGUUAGAAAUAACUUUUUUAUUGAUAAUUUUAAAAAAAAAAAUUAUAUAUUAUGUUAAUACAGGUGUUGCAUGGCUGUCGUCAGUUCGUGCCGUGAGGUGUUUGGUUAAUUCCUUUAACGAACGUAACUCUUAUUUUAUAUUAGGAAUCUUGAUUAUUACUAAUUAAUAACCACUUAUAAAAAACUGCUUUUAAUACAGAAGAGGAAGGAAAGAAUUACGUCAAGUCCUUAUGGCCCUUAUAAACUGGGCUACACAUGUGCUACAAUAGAAAGUUCAAAAAGUCGUACAAUAAAGCAAUUUAAAGUUAAUCUUUAAUUCUUUCUGUGUUCGGAUUAUUGACUGCAACUCGUCAAAAUUAAGUUGGAAUCACGAGUAAUCGUAUAUCAGCAUGCUACGGUGAAUAUGUGCUUAGAUCUUGCACACACCGCCCGUCACGUGCUGGGAGUAAGUUUUAUUUUAAAUAUAUAGAUGGUCUUUAUUAAAUUAUAAUAAUCUUAACUUUAGUUAUUUUUUUAAUUUGAUAAAAACCUAUAUACGUCAUUAUGAGAUUUAUAACCGGGAUGAAGUCGUAACAAGGUAGUCGUAGGGGAACCUGCGGCUGGAC